UAUUAUGAAUUUCAUUUAUUUCUAUUGUUAAAAACUGACGUGACUGACAGAAUAACCAGACAAUUACACAUGGUGUGCUACGUGUACCUCAUACUGGUGUAGAGGGAUUAGUUUUUAAUAGCAAAAAUGGAUGGAAUUUUUAACA
Gossypium arboreum is the source of this 145-nucleotide non-coding RNA. The record is from Rfam. Lineage: Eukaryota; Viridiplantae; Streptophyta; Magnoliopsida; Malvales; Malvaceae.